Molecule: unclassified non-coding RNA, 1509 nt
Filed under: Hevea brasiliensis (rubber tree)
Lineage: Eukaryota; Viridiplantae; Streptophyta; Magnoliopsida; Malpighiales; Euphorbiaceae
Source: RNAcentral
GGCUCUUGAAAAUCUAGCACAAAACAGUUGAAAUUUGUAAACAUCCACUAACACAUCUUACACGACUUAAAUGAACCAUAGGCUCACGCGUAAUUAUUGAAAACAUAAAAAAGUACAAACAGACGAACAAAAAUUAGAAAAACUAUUAAGAGCUAUCGACUUUAGAUUCUCCUUCACAAACAAAAGUUCCAUCGACAGUGUAAUAGUUGCAACCCUUACUGCCUGCACAACAAUUGGUGCAUAUUCUACCUUCACUCCUUUUAUUGCCUGGACAUAUCGAGUACGCUAUUCUUGGAUUACAAUUACGAGGACAAGCUUUAUUUGUUUCGUCUAUAGUCUUUUUUGUCUGUCCUUCACAAAUGAAUGUUCCGUUAGCACUAUAAUAGUUGCAACCUUCAGUGCCUGAGCAACAAUUUGUGCAUCCAACUUUGAACUUUUUGUUUCCAGAUUUUGGGCAUCUCCCAUAUUGAAUACUUGGAUUACAAUUACGGGGACAAGCAUUUGCUGCAUCCACCUCACUUAAAAGUAAAACAGUUCCAGCAAAAAUAGCUGAAUAAUUAAAUAAAGUCAUUAGCAAAUAUGUUUAAUGUAGAAUUACCAAAGAUGAUAAGAAAUAAAAAGACUAACCAAACAAAAUGAGGAGGGCAACUUUGUUGAAGGCCAUACUUUCUUGUGAUUAAUAGUACCUUGAACUUUUUUUUUUUGAGUGAAGAAUGUGUUGACCUAUCCACCUAUUUAUAGCAAGCUCAUCAUCUCUACGGGAUCGAUAACUUAUUUCAUUAUGGGUGUGUUUGGUACAAAGAAAAAUGUUUUUCUUGAAAACAAAAAGAUUUUUGAUUUAUUUUUUGAUGUUUGUUUGAUUAGUAGAAAAUAUUUUUUAGAAUUUUUUUUAGUUGAUUUAUGAAUGAAAAUAUUUUUUUAAAAACAAAUUUAAUUUUUUUUUUGGAGCGGGAUUUGGGGGAUCAAAUGAUAGGAGUAAAAAAAUUAAAUUUUGAAAUGGAAAAUACUUUUUAAAACGAACUUAAAUUUUUUUUUGAGCGUAGGAGGUUGCGGAUAGGGGUGUAGUGAAAAAUAAAAAUUUAAAAUUUUGAAAAUAUUUUUUAAAAACAAACUUAAUUUUUUUAGAGGGGUAGGGUUGGUGGGGGUGUUGUGGGUGGGGUGGGGUGAGGUGAAAAAAAUAAAAAUUAAAAAUACUUUUCAAAAACAACUUAGUUUUUUUUGGAGGGGAUGGGGGCUGAUGGGGGGAGGGGUCAUCGUAGGGGCAGAGGGGUAAAAAAAUAAAAAUUUGAAAUUGGAAGUAUUUUUAAAUAGAAGUUUUAGAUUUAUUUUUAAACAAAAAAAUGUAAUUUGAAGUUGGAGAAAAGUUUUGAAAAAUGUUUUUCUUAGUUUUUGAAGGAAAGUCAUUGCCCUUAAUUUUGAGGAAAAUAAGUUGAUUUGAAUAACAUUUUUCAAAACUUUUAACCCAACCAAACAUGAGAAAAUUAAAAAACAUUUUUCGAAAAAUGUUUU